AUUGAACGCUGGCGGCAGGCCUAACACAUGCAAGUCGAGCGGAUGAAGGGAGCUUGCUCCUGGAUUCAGCGGCGGACGGGUGAGUAAUGCCUAGGAAUCUGCCUGGUAGUGGGGGAUAACGUCCGGAAACGGGCGCUAAUACCGCAUACGUCCUGAGGGAGAAAGUGGGGGAUCUUCGGACCUCACGCUAUCAGAUGAGCCUAGGUCGGAUUAGCUAGUUGGUGGGGUAAAGGCCUACCAAGGCGACGAUCCGUAACUGGUCUGAGUGGAUGAUCAGUCGCACUGGAACUGAGACACGGUCCAGACUCCUACGGGAGGCAGCAGUGGGGAAUAUUGGACAAUGGGCGAAAGCCUGAUCCAGCCAUGCCGCGUGUGUGAAGAAGGUCUUCGGAUUGUAAAGCACUUUAAGUUGGGAGGAAGGGCAGUAAGUUAAUACCUUGCUGUUUUGACGUUACCAACAGAAUAAGCACCGGCUAACUUCGUG
Molecule: ribosomal RNA, 484 nt
Filed under: uncultured bacterium
Lineage: Bacteria
Description: partial 16S ribosomal RNA
Rfam family: Bacterial small subunit ribosomal RNA
Source: RNAcentral